RNAcentral lists this ribosomal RNA (484 nucleotides) under uncultured bacterium. RNAcentral's name for it is "partial 16S ribosomal RNA". It matches the Rfam family "Bacterial small subunit ribosomal RNA", at positions 30 to 507 of the family's 1533-position model. The record is from RNAcentral.
AUUGAACGCUGGCGGCAGGCCUAACACAUGCAAGUCGAGCGGAUGAAGGGAGCUUGCUCCUGGAUUCAGCGGCGGACGGGUGAGUAAUGCCUAGGAAUCUGCCUUGGAGUGGGGGAUAACGUCCGGAAACGGGCGCUAAUACCGCAUACGUCCUGAGGGAGAAAGUGGGGGAUCUUCGGACCUCACGCUAUCAGAUGAGCCUAGGUCGGAUUAGCUAGUUGGUGGGGUAAAGGCCUACCAAGGCGACGAUCCGUAACUGGUCUGAGAGGAUGAUCAGUCACACUGGAACUGAGACACGGUCCAGACUCCUACGGGAGGCAGCAGUGGGGAAUAUUGGACAAUGGGCGAAAGCCUGAUCCAGCCAUGCCGCGUGUGUGAAGAAGGUCUUCGGAUUGUAAAGCACUUUAAGUUGGGAGGAAGGGCAGUAAGUUAAUACCUUGCUGUUUUGACGUUACCAACAGAAUAAGCACCGGCUAACUUCGUG